CCUACGGGAGGCAGCAGUGAGGAAUAUUGGUCAAUGGACGAGAGUCUGAACCAGCCAAGUAGCGUGAAGGAUGACUGCCCUAUGGGUUGUAAACUUCUUUUAUAUGGGAAUAAAAUGUUCCACGUGUGGGAUUUUGUAUGUACCAUAUGAAUAAGGAUCGGCUAACUCCGUGCCAGCAGCCGCGGUAAUACGGAGGAUCCGAGCGUUAUCCGGAUUUAUUGGGUUUAAAGGGAGCGUAGGUGGAUUGUUAAGUCAGUUGUGAAAGUUUGCGGCUCAACCGUAAAAUUGCAGUUGAUACUGGCAGUCUUGAGUACAGUAGAGGUGGGCGGAAUUAGUGGUGUAGCGGUGAAAUGCUUAGAUAUCACGAAGAACUCCGAUUGCGAAGGCAGUUCACUGGACUGCAACUGACACUGAGGCUCGAAAGUGUGGGUAUCAAACAGGAUUAGAUACCCCUGUAGUC
This 460-nucleotide ribosomal RNA is filed under the name uncultured bacterium. Its description in RNAcentral is "partial 16S ribosomal RNA". It matches the Rfam family "Bacterial small subunit ribosomal RNA", at positions 338 to 795 of the family's 1533-position model. The record is from RNAcentral.